UGAAAACUUAAGAAUUUGUUCUUCAGCUCUU
RNAcentral lists this non-coding RNA (31 nucleotides) under Rattus norvegicus (Norway rat). Lineage: Eukaryota; Metazoa; Chordata; Mammalia; Rodentia; Muridae. The record is from RNAcentral.